This 492-nucleotide ribosomal RNA is filed under the name uncultured bacterium. Its description in RNAcentral is "partial 16S ribosomal RNA". It matches the Rfam family "Bacterial small subunit ribosomal RNA", at positions 29 to 507 of the family's 1533-position model. The record is from RNAcentral.
AGUGAACGCUGGCGGUAGGCCUAACACAUGCAAGUCGAACGGCAGCACAGUAAGAGCUUGCUCUUACGGGUGGCGAGUGGCGGACGGGUGAGGAAUACAUCGGAAUCUACUUUUUCGUGGGGGAUAACGUAGGGAAACUUACGCUAAUACCGCAUACGACCUACGGGUGAAAGCAGGGGAUCUUCGGACCUUGCGCGAUUGAAUGAGCCGAUGUCGGAUUAGCUGGUUGGCGGGGUAAAGGCCCACCAAGGCGACGAUCCGUAGCUGGUCUGAGAGGAUGAUCAGCCACACUGGAACUGAGACACGGUCCAGACUCCUACGGGAGGCAGCAGUGGGGAAUAUUGGACAAUGGGCGCAAGCCUGAUCCAGCCAUACCGCGUGGGUGAAGAAGGCCUUCGGGUUGUAAAGCCCUUUUGUUGGGAAAGAAAAGCAGCAGGUUAAUACCCCGUUGUUCUGACGGUACCCAAAGAAUAAGCACCGGCUAACUUCGUG